GACGAACGCUGGCGGCGUGCUUCAUACAUGCAAGUCGAACGAGAAGCUGACUUCGGUCAGUGGACAGUGGCGGACGGGGGAGUAAUAUGUAGGAAAUCUGCCUUUAGGAGGGGGACAACAGAGGGAAACUUCUGCUAAUACCCCAUAUGAGCGUAGCUGAAAUGCUAUUCUUGAAAACUCCGGUUCCUAAAGAUGAGCCUGCAUCUGAUUAGCUAGUUGGUAGUGUAAUGGACUACCAAGGCGACGAUCAGUAGCUGGGUUGAGAGGAUGAUCAGCCACAACGGGACUGAGACCCGGCCCAUCACCCUACGGGAGACAGCUGUAGGGAAUUUUGCGCAAUGGGCGAAAGCCUGACGCAGCUACGCCGCGUGAACGAUUAAGCCCUUCGGGGUGUAAAGUUCUGUCAGUGGGGACGAAACUUGACGGUACCCACAGAGGAAGCACCGGCUAACUCCGUG
RNAcentral lists this ribosomal RNA (458 nucleotides) under uncultured bacterium. RNAcentral's name for it is "partial 16S ribosomal RNA". It matches the Rfam family "Bacterial small subunit ribosomal RNA", at positions 28 to 507 of the family's 1533-position model. The record is from RNAcentral.